CGGUAAUACGGAGGGUGCGAGCGUUAAUCGGAAUUACUGGGCGUAAAGCGCAUGCAGGUGGUUUGUUAAGUCAGAUGUGAAAGACCCGGGGCGUCAACCUCGGAAUAGCAUUUGAAACUAGGCAGACUAGAGUACUGUAGAGGGGGGUAGGAAUUUCAGGUGUAGCGGUGAAAUAGCGUAGAGAUCUGAAGGAAUACCGGUGGCGAAGGCGGCCCCCUCGGACAGAUACUGACACUCAGAUGCGAAAGCGUGGGGAGCAAACAGGAUUAGAUACCCUGGUAG
RNAcentral lists this ribosomal RNA (282 nucleotides) under uncultured bacterium. RNAcentral describes it as "partial 16S ribosomal RNA". It matches the Rfam family "Bacterial small subunit ribosomal RNA", at positions 518 to 793 of the family's 1533-position model. The record is from RNAcentral.